This is a long non-coding RNA of Oncorhynchus tshawytscha (Chinook salmon), 1029 nucleotides long. The record is from Ensembl. NCBI's taxonomy places the organism in Eukaryota, Metazoa, Chordata, Actinopteri, Salmoniformes, Salmonidae.
AAGGACCACUACUUCGACGCAGACAAGAAACAGGGUUUACGUGAAACCGAGGAAGAAGCCACGGACAGACAGAGCUGAAACUUCACUGCUUGACAUGUACAAUGAAAUCCUGGUUGAGAAUGAAACGACUGAACGACGAAACAGCACAGCAAGUAAGUGAAAGAAAUACAUUUUGAUGAUGUUUUACUGGUAAUGGGGACAUAUGUAAACGCCAACAAAAUAACUUUUUCGUCAGUGUGUGUGUGUGCGCACGAGUGUUUAAACUAUUUAACUGUACUAGAAUGCUUAAAAGGGUGGCUAAAAUUUUAAAUAACGGUGAUCGGUAUCGUUUUUUUUUUUUUUGAAAGGAGAAUAUUGGAUAUCAGUAUCGGCCAAAAAUGGCAUAUAGGUGAAUCACUAACUACAGCACAUCAACACAUCUACUACUGCAGUACAACUCAUUACAAUGCACAUGACAUAAACUGACGGCACAAAACAUUAAGAACACCUUCCUAAUAUUGAGUUGUACCUCACACUUUUAACCAUCAAUUCGUCAGGGCAUGGACUCUACAACGUGUCAAAAGCGUUCCACAGUGAUGCUGGCCCAUGUUGACUCUACAAGGUGUUGAAAGCGUUCCACAGUGAUGCUGGCCCAUGUUGACUCUACAAGGUGUUGAAAGCGUUCCACAGCGAUGCUGGCCCAUGUUGACUCCAAAGCUUCCCACAUUCUCGAUACACAUGGGAAAACUGUUGAACGUGAAAAACCCAGCCGUGUUGCAGCUCGACACACUCAAACCGGUGCGCCUGGCACGAACUACAUAACCAUACCCCGUUCAAAGGCACUUCAAUCUAUUGUCUUGCCCAUUCACCCUCUCAAUGGCACACAUACAAUAGCUCAAUUGUCUCAAGACUUAAAAAAAAAAAAUCCUUCUUUCACCCGUUUGCUCUCCUUCAUCUACACUAAUUGAAGUGGAUUUAACAAGUGACAUUAAUAAAAUAUCAUAGCUUUAACCUGGAUUCACCUGGUCAGUCUAUGUCAUGGAAAGAGCA